UGUUUCGGCAAGGGGGUCAUCCCGACUUACCAACCCGAUGCAAACUGCGAAUACCGGAGAAUGUUAUCACGGGAGACACACGGCGGGUGCUAACGUCCGUCGUGAAGAGGGAAACAACCCAGACCGCCAGCUAAGGUCCCAAAGUCAUGGUUAAGUGGGAAACGAUGUGGGAAGGCCCAGACAGCCAGGAUGUUGGCUUAGAAGCAGCCAUCAUUUAAAGAAAGCGUAAUAGCUCACUGGUCGAGUCGGCCUGCGCGGAAGAUGUAACGGGGCUAAACCAUGCACCGAAGCUGCGGCAGCGACGCUUAUGCGUUGUUGGGUAGGGGAGCGUUCUGUAAGCCUGUGAAGGUGUACUGUGAGGUAUGCUGGAGGUAUCAGAAGUGCGAAUGCUGACAUAAGUAACGAUAAAGCGGGUGAAAAGCCCGCUCGCCGGAAGACCAAGGGUUCCUGUCCAACGUUAAUCGGGGCAGGGUGAGUCGACCCCUAAGGCGAGGCCGAAAGGCGUAGUCGAUGGGAAACAGGUUAAUAUUCCUGUACUUGGUGUUACUGCGAAGGGGGGACGGAGAAGGCUAUGUUGGCCGGGCGACGGUUGUCCCGGUUUAAGCGUGUAGGCUGGUUUUCCAGGCAAAUCCGGAAAAUCAAGGCUGAGGCGUGAUGACGAGGCACUACGGUGCUGAAGCAACAAAUGCCCUGCUUCCAGGAAAAGCCUCUAAGCAUCAGGUAACAUCAAAUCGUACCCCAAACCGACACAGGUGGUCAGGUAGAGAAUACCAAGGCGCUUGAGAGAACUCGGGUGAAGGAACUAGGCAAAAUGGUGCCGUAACUUCGGGAGAAGGCACGCUGAUAUGUAGGUGAAGCGACUUGCUCGUGGAGCUGAAAUCAGUCGAAGAUACCAGCUGGCUGCAACUGUUUAUUAAAAACACAGCACUGUGCAAACACGAAAGUGGACGUAUACGGUGUGACGCCUGCCCGGUGCCGGAAGGUUAAUUGAUGGGGUUAGCGGUAACGCGAAGCUCUUGAUCGAAGCCCCGGUAAACGGCGGCCGUAACUAUAACGGUCCUAAGGUAGCGAAAUUCCUUGUCGGGUAAGUUCCGACCUGCACGAAUGGCGUAAUGAUGGCCAGGCUGUCUCCACCCGAGACUCAGUGAAAUUGAACUCGCUGUGAAGAUGCAGUGUACCCGCGGCAAGACGGAAAGACCCCGUGAACCUUUACUAUAGCUUGACACUGAACAUUGAGCCUUGAUGUGUAGGAUAGGUGGGAGGCUUAGAAGUGUGGACGCCAGUCUGCAUGGAGCCGACCUUGAAAUACCACCCUUUAAUGUUUGAUGUUCUAACGUUGACCCGUAAUCCGGGUUGCGGACAGUGUCUGGUGGGUAGUUUGACUGGGGCGGUCUCCUCCUAAAGAGUAACGGAGGAGCACGAAGGUUGGCUAAUCCUGGUCGGACAUCAGGAGGUUAGUGCAAUGGCAUAAGCCAGCUUGACUGCGAGCGUGACGGCGCGAGCAGGUGCGAAAGCAGGUCAUAGUGAUCCGGUGGUUCUGAAUGGAAGGGCCAUCGCUCAACGGAUAAAAGGUACUCCGGGGAUAACAGGCUGAUACCGCCCAAGAGUUCAUAUCGACGGCGGUGUUUGGCACCUCGAUGUCGGCUCAUCACAUCCUGGGGCUGAAGUAGGUCCCAAGGGUAUGGCUGUUCGCCAUUUAAAGUGGUACGCGAGCUGGGUUUAGAACGUCGUGAGACAGUUCGGUCCCUAUCUGCCGUGGGCGCUGGAGAACUGAGGGGGGCUGCUCCUAGUACGAGAGGACCGGAGUGGACGCAUCACUGGUGUUCGGGUUGUCAUGCCAAUGGCACUGCCCGGUAGCUAAAUGCGGAAGAG
This 1872-nucleotide ribosomal RNA is filed under the name Escherichia coli. Its description in RNAcentral is "partial 23S ribosomal RNA". It matches the Rfam family "Bacterial large subunit ribosomal RNA", at positions 911 to 2763 of the family's 2925-position model. Lineage: Bacteria; Pseudomonadati; Pseudomonadota; Gammaproteobacteria; Enterobacterales; Enterobacteriaceae. The record is from RNAcentral.